Alligator mississippiensis (American alligator) is the source of this 3455-nucleotide long non-coding RNA. RefSeq lists it as uncharacterized. NCBI's taxonomy places the organism in Eukaryota, Metazoa, Chordata, Crocodylia, Alligatoridae. The record is from RefSeq and is a predicted model, not a curated record. The transcript is spliced from 6 exons.
UUAUGACGUGGCGAAAAACAAUUGGCUAAUAUACAAAUAAAACCCAUCUUCACUUCCGUGAAGAAGGGGGGACCUCCGUACGAACCUUGGAGACCUCUGAUCACACGUAUCAGAGUAACUGACAACUUGAUCACUUGCCAGUGCCCCCCUCGCGUCUCGAACCAAUCUUAAGAUAUAAAUCACCGACCUGCCAGCCCGAUUUUUUCUCCGUUUAUCUGCCCGACGAAAGACUUUCAUGCAGACCGACCUUCGAACCUUAAGCUGUAACUAAUCAAAUAUCUCUGACCUCCGUCUUUCACCACCUUAACGGCGUAUCACUGCAUCCUGGGAUGAAGGAAAUGACAGAAGCUUAUUCCCCAAGCUACAGAUUGACAACUUCUCCAGUAGAGUACUUUAUCACCUGUUGUAAUCUAAAAAGAAAAACGUGAGGCAAUGGAGCAAGCUUCGGAAGCAUAACUAUAUGCCAAAUUAAUUAAUAAGGUCAGCUGUUUAUCGACUGAGGAGAGAAAGGAAAUGCCCUCAGUGAAAUACAGUAUUCCCAAUGCAGAUCCAACAAAGGCUGGACAUAAGGAAGAACUUCUUUACGGUCCCAGCUCCCAAGACCUGGAACCUGGAACAGACUGCUGGCAGAGGUGGUGCAAUUCCUUUAAGUGGAUUCCUUUAAGAGUCAAUUGAACCUUUAUCGUGCUGGGAUCCUGUGAUACCAGCUGACUUCCUGCUUCUGGGCCAGGGGGCUGGACUCGGUGAUCUUCCGAGGUCCCUUCCAGCCCUAAUGUCUAUGAAAUUUAUGAACGUUUUGGAACAACUCUUCAGAUAGUUGAAGGCUAUUAUGAAAUCCCCACCCCUCCACCCCACCUCCAUCUUCUCUUCUCCAAACUAAAUAUGCCCAGUUCCCUCAGCCUCUCCUCAUAAGUCAUGUGCUCCAGCCCCCUAAUCAGUUUAUUGCCCUAUAUGGAGAACUCAUUCUGUCAGACUUCACAAAUUGUAUAAAUUCACUCCUCUAAAACCCAGGUAAAACCAAGUUGCCUCUUAAGUAAGAAAGAAGGUCACUAAAACUCCUUCAAGAAAAUCAAAACAAGCAAACAUCUGCUAUUACUUCUAGGUUGUCAGUGACAGGUCAUGGACAGUCAGUCCUGGGGGGCUAUCAGGAUUACCAGACCAAAAUACCAACCAGAGUCAGAGAGGAAAAGCAAAAUCCAGAGACCAGUCUCUUCAGAAAACCAGGAGAUCACUAGGUAAGCAAGGCUACAUGAAAUCUAAUCCAGAAAACCAGAGAAUCAAGCAGAGAGCAGAGUCCACAAUAAGCCAUCUUAGGAAACCAGGAGAACAAAUAGAGAGCAGACUUGACACGUGAGCUAGGUCAGGAAGUAGCCAGAGUUACCAGAGGCACAGUCUGAGGUCAGGAAAAAAAAAUUAUGAGGACCAGACUCUUCCUAGCCCUCUCCUUCAAUUUAUACAGAGGAAAGGUAGGACCAUAUGACAGGAGCCAACCAUGUGGGUGUCAGGAAGUGGGCAGAGAUUCUGGUACUGAUGAAGGCUUUAGAUAGGCCUCCUCCAACCUUCAGGCACAGCAACAGUGUGGUGUGUUGGGGUAAAUAGAUGUGCUAGUCAGGCCAGGCCUUGGGUUUUAGACUGCAGGCCUCACAGUUAGUUAAACUUCACAAAUGUAUGUAAUAAAACAGUUCCAAUAUAAGUACCAUGUAAAAUUUAAUAAAAAUACCAUAGGCUAGUUCCUAACUACACAGACUAUCAUGCCCUACUUUAUUUCUAGGUAAAUUGGUUGCAACCAUAAUUAAAAUUGAAUUAUAAACCACCUAGAUAAACUUGAUAUGAGAAGGAUAAACCAACGUGGUUUCUGUAAAGGAUAUUUAUGCCCUUCUAAUCUAUUAACAUAGUAGAUAAGAGAGAAGAGGUUCAUAUAAUUUAUUUUGACCUUUAAGAAGUCCUUCACAAGAGAUUUUAAGAAAACUAAAUAUUCAUGCUAUGAAAGAUAAAGUAAUGCAAUGGAUUAGAAACUGGCUUAGAUAUGGAAAACAAAAAUUAGGAAUGGGCUGAUCAAACUUUCAACAUGACAAAGUUAACUGCUUGGAAUCCCAAUGUUGUGUAAAAAGGACUGCUGUUAUCUAAUAUGCUCACUGCUUUAGGGAAAAAAAAAGAGGAAAGGGAAUGUGAUAUUUUGUGUACUUGUCUGGGAAGAUGAUCUUCUUUCUCCAUCAGGUGGGUUCCAUCUCAUCCUAGCAAUCCUUCUUGGAACAUCCCAUGACCAAGGAAGCCAAAGCCAUGCUGGUGAUACCAUAUCCACAGUGUGACAGCUGUAGGGGUUGUAGGGCUUGCUACCACUGCCUUGAGUUCAUUUUCCCACAGACGGUGAUAGGGUGGACCUCAGCUUCAGAUCACCACCUGGUCUGCCAGGAAGUUGGUCUUAUGUUUCUUUCCUGCCACGACUUCGAAAUUAUAUUCCCGGGAGGCACUGCUGGUGGUGAUCCUGCCCAAUCUCAAUCCCUGUGUGAUGGACUAGCCGAUAAUGAUUUGUCCCAGGGGUUUUGAAAGUGCAAAAGAUGAUUGGAGGGCUUGGGAUUCCCUUUCCUCGCCAAUCAGGCCCCAGAAACUCACCCUCCAUGUCCCCUGAUUGGCCCCUUGGGUCACCUGGAGGGGGAUAAAAGGGGCAGCUCAGCUGACUCAGGAAAGACCAGCAAGGGAACAUGAGGAAAGCGUUUCAAAGAGCUGGCAAGAGAUGGGCCAGCGGGGUGGGAGCUGUUGCCCCAGAAGCACCUGAAGGAGUGGGACCUGCAGGCAGCAGUUGCACCCUCAGCAGCGCAGCAUGCAGCUGGCAGGAGAGGCUCCCACUGGGCUCCAGGAUCCCCCUAUGAGAGGUUGCAGCCAGCAGGAGAGGCUCCCGAGCUCCAGCAAGAAGAUGAGCAGUGACCUGAGAGGCUCCUAGCUCUGCUUCCAGCUCCUCCAGCAAGAGACUAGGAAGCUUGAUGUGAGGCAGGAGCUCCAGGAAGGUCAAAACCCCUAGCAGCUUGGAGCAGUACCAGCACUGGUGGUUGUGUGGUAGAGUUUCUACCUACUAUGUGAGAGAUUUUAAGUUCAAGUCAUGCUGGGAUGAACUGGGGUGAGUAAAGUGAUAGGAAGAAAUUCUUGUUGCAGUGGGAAAGGGGUCAUUGUGUUUUUCCCCUCCUCACCCCUCCAGGUACCUAGGCCCUAUAUUCCUUGUUAUUUACAUUUUGUAUUUUGUACAUUUUAUAUUUUGCCAAUCAGUAUUGUUUGUUCUGCUGUUUAUGUUUUAUAUUUUGUUAACCCUGUCUUUUGUCAACUGGAUGAAUGUGUACAAUUGUAAGUGCCUAACCUUUAUUGAAUCCUGCCCCCUUGGGGCUUUGUAGUGUCCCCUAUACCCUCUGGUUUAUACCUGUUAUGUUCCCACUACUGUUCCCUCAUUAAAAGGUAUAUGGUUA